RNAcentral lists this ribosomal RNA (253 nucleotides) under uncultured bacterium. RNAcentral's name for it is "partial 16S ribosomal RNA". It matches the Rfam family "Bacterial small subunit ribosomal RNA", at positions 524 to 776 of the family's 1533-position model. The record is from RNAcentral.
UACGAAGGGGGCGAGCGUUGUUCGGAAUUACUGGGCGUAGAGGGCGCGUAGGCGGCCCCUUUUGUCGCGUGUGAAAGCCCCGGGCUCAACCUGGGAACGGCGCGCGAAACGGGGGGGCUUGAGUUCGGGAGAGGAGAGUGGAAUUCCCAGUGUAGAGGUGAAAUUCGUAGAUAUUGGGAAGAACACCGGUGGCGAAGGCGGCAUCCUGGACCGACACUGACGCUGAGGAGCGAAAGCCAGGGGAGCAAACGGG